UGCGCAGGCGGGGAUGUAAGUCAGUGGUGAAAUACUGCCGCUCAACGGUAGAACUGCCAUUGAUACUGCAUCUCUUGAGUAUGGUUGAGGUAGGCGGAAUGUGUUGUGUAGCGGUGAAAUGCAUAGAUAUGACACAGAACGCCAAUUGCGAAGGCAGCUUACUAAACCAUUACUGACGCUGAGGCACGAAAGCGUGGGGAGCGAACAGGAUUAGAUACCCUGGUAGUC
Molecule: ribosomal RNA, 228 nt
Filed under: uncultured bacterium
Lineage: Bacteria
Description: partial 16S ribosomal RNA
Rfam family: Bacterial small subunit ribosomal RNA
Source: RNAcentral